AUGCAGCUUUGGAGCCUGGAGGGGGCGGAAGAGGCCUUCGGCGACUUCGGCCGCAUCGACCGCCUCGACAGCCGCACCAACGAGCGCGGCCACACCAAGACGUUCGCAUGCUGGCUGUGGGCGUGGGACGUCGCGCACAUCCCAACGAAGAGGGCGCUCUGGGUGGUCAAGCGCGGCGCAGGCCGCGUCGACCAGAUCCUAGGCUUCUCCCCGCCGGAAUUCAACGUGCCCCCGCCGCCGAACGUCCAUCGCUACGACCUCCUCAUCCACGUAGAUAGGGUAGAGGACUGG
Molecule: ribosomal RNA, 291 nt
Filed under: Triticum aestivum (bread wheat)
Lineage: Eukaryota; Viridiplantae; Streptophyta; Magnoliopsida; Poales; Poaceae
Description: partial small subunit ribosomal RNA
Source: RNAcentral